AGUGAACGCUGGCGGUAGGCCUAAUACAUGCAAGUCGAACGGCAGCACAGUAAGAGCUUGCUCUUACGGGUGGCGAGUGGCGGACGGGUGAGGAAUACAUCGGAAUCUACUUUUUCGUGGGGGAUAACGUAGGGAAACAUACGCUAAUACCGCAUACGACCUACGGGUGAAAGCAGGGGAUCUUCGGACCUUUGGCGAUUGAAUGAGCCGAUGUCGGAUUAGCUAGUUGGCGGGGUAAAGGCCCACCAAGGCGACGAUCCGUAGCUGGGCUGAGAGGAUGAUCAGCCACACUGGAACUGAGACACGGUCCAGACUCCUACGGGAGGCAGCAGUGGGGAAUAUUGCACAAUGGGCGCAAGCCUGAUCCAGCCAUACCGCGUGGGUGAAGAAGGCCUUCGGGUUGUAAAGCCCUUUUGUUGGGAAAGAAAAGCAGCAGGUUAAUCCCCCGCUGUUCUGACGGUACCCAAACAGUAAGCACCGGCUAACUUCGUG
Molecule: ribosomal RNA, 492 nt
Filed under: uncultured bacterium
Lineage: Bacteria
Description: partial 16S ribosomal RNA
Rfam family: Bacterial small subunit ribosomal RNA
Source: RNAcentral